UCCAAGUUUCAGAGCCCCCACGUCCAGGAAAUGGAUGUCAGAAGUCUCCCUCACAAGCUGGAGCUAUUGCUGUUAGAGCCAGCCCCGCAGCGCCCUGGAAAGGAUCUCAAGGCACCGCGGGACGCCGUGGCGCCUGGCCGAGACUCGCUGCUUUAGGUCACGCCGUACGCCCAAGAGGAAAGGGGAGCAUCACCUGCCUUGCAGAUGGAGUGGGCAAUGGCUGCCUGUAGGUCAGGCCUUAUGAAGAAGUUCAAAGCCAUGUCGCUUAAUGAAAGCUACAAUGAUGGAAAGCCAUCAGCCAAGAACUGGGUUGCAAGGAAGAUCCCCAGGAUGUGCAAUUCAAGGGAUUCCCUCCAAGGUGGAGCCAAGAAAUUGGGCCAGGAAAGGAGCUGGAUUUGAUUGCAGUUGUCUGCGAGAGAAACAAACACCCCAGAAAUAGGCAAAAAAGGCAUCAGGGGAGCUUGAGAGACAGAUGGAUAAGUCUUUGCAUGAGGGAAUGCUUUUGGGCUGGGUGCUGAUUGGUAAGAGGCAUGGAGUGUUAGCAGAGACCCUGCCUCCUGCUGCAUUCAGGGACAUCCCUUGUCAAUACACAGUACUAGUCAAAGAACUAGCUCAGACCCCACACUCUUGCCUCCCCCAGUCAUUUUUUCCUUUGCUUAAAUGGGACUACACACGCACACACUUCCCCCUGUAAUAGAAGGGAAAUGCCAUCCCAUACCACUGGAAACCAGCACAGGCCUCUAACACUUAAGCUUACAGUGGAACCCCACUAGGUGGUAACAGUAGCA
Long non-coding RNA from Alligator mississippiensis (American alligator), 788 nucleotides. RefSeq lists it as uncharacterized. NCBI's taxonomy places the organism in Eukaryota, Metazoa, Chordata, Crocodylia, Alligatoridae. The record is from RefSeq and is a predicted model, not a curated record. The transcript is spliced from 2 exons.